RNAcentral lists this ribosomal RNA (370 nucleotides) under uncultured eukaryote. RNAcentral's name for it is "partial 18S ribosomal RNA". It matches the Rfam family "Eukaryotic small subunit ribosomal RNA", at positions 592 to 976 of the family's 1831-position model. The record is from RNAcentral.
GAGAAGUGUAUAUUAAAAUUGCUGCAGUUGAAAAGCUCGUAGUCGGUUUUCUGGGUGCGAUUGGUUUGGUUCUUUUAUUUCUUAAUAACUGUAUACCUCUACCAAAGUGCCCUUCCUUGUGGAGGACUAUUUAUUUAGUUUGUUCCACAUCCUUUACUGAGACUAAAUUGAAAUGUUCCAUGUAGACUUACGUACGAACAAUGCAGCUUGGAAUAAUGACCUAGGAAUUUUGGUUUUUGUUUGACGAACUCGGAAUUAAUACGCCAUAGGAACCGACGGGGGUGCUUGUAUUUGGAGGCCAGAGGUGAAAUUCUCGGAUUCUCCAAAGACAGACUCAUGCGAAAGCGUUCACCAAGUAGCUCUNCUUUGA